AUGGCGGCGGUGAAGAAGUACACGGUGGCGCUCUUCCUCGCCGUCGCCCUCGUGGCGGGGCCGGCCGUCUCCUACGCCGCCGACGCUGCCUACACCCCGGCCGCCCCAGCCGGAGCCGCCGGGACACAGCCCAAGGCGACGACCGACGAGCAGAAGCUGAUGGAGAAGAUCAACGACGGCUUCAAGGCGGCCGUGGCGGCCGCAGCCGGCGUCCCUGCGGCGGACAAGUACAAGACAUUUGAUGCCACAUUCAGCGAGGCCUCUAACAAGGCUUUCGCGGAGGUCCUCAAGGGCGCCGCCGCCGGCCAGUACGCCGGCCAGUCCAGCUCCAUGGCCAAACUCUCCAGCAGCCUCGAACUCUCCUACAAGCUCGCCUACGACAAAGCCCAGGGAGCCACCCCCGAGGCCAAGUACGACGCCUACGUCGCCACCCUCACCGAGUCGCUCCGCGUCAUCUCCGGCACCCUCGAGGUCCACUCCGUAAAGCCCGCCGAGGAGGAGGUCAAGGGGGUCCCCACCGGCGAGCUGAAGGCCAUCGAUCAGGUCGACGCCGCCUUCAGGACCGCCGCCACGGCCGCCGACGCUGCCCCGGUCAACGACAAGUUCACCGUCUUCGAGACCGCCUUCAACAAGGCCAUCAAGGAGACCACGGGCGGCGCAUAUGAGAGCUACAAGUUCAUCCCGGCCCUUGAGGCCGCUGUCAAGCAGGCGUACGCCGCCACCGUCGCCGCCGCGCCGGAGGUAAAAUUCACCGUCUUUCAGACCGCCCUGAGCAAGGCCAUCAAUGCCAUGACCCAAGCCGAGAAGGAUGCCGCAGCCACCGCCACCGCCACCGCUGGGGCCAGCGCCGGCGCCACUGCCGGUGGCUACAAAGCCUGA
RNAcentral lists this ribosomal RNA (879 nucleotides) under Triticum aestivum (bread wheat). RNAcentral's name for it is "partial small subunit ribosomal RNA". The record is from RNAcentral. Lineage: Eukaryota; Viridiplantae; Streptophyta; Magnoliopsida; Poales; Poaceae.